This 310-nucleotide ribosomal RNA is filed under the name Lomentospora prolificans. RNAcentral describes it as "Scedosporium prolificans Eukaryotic small subunit ribosomal RNA". It matches the Rfam family "Eukaryotic small subunit ribosomal RNA", at positions 337 to 646 of the family's 1831-position model. Lineage: Eukaryota; Fungi; Ascomycota; Sordariomycetes; Microascales; Microascaceae. The record is from Rfam by way of RNAcentral.
UGUCUUCGCAUGGUUGCAACGGGUAACGUAGGGUUAGGGCUCGACCCCGGACAAGGAGCCUGGGAAACGGCAACUACAUCCAAGGAAGGCAGCAGGCGCGCAAAUUACCCAAUCCCGACACGGGGAGGUAGUGACAAUAAAUACUGAUACAGGGCUCUUUUGGGUCUUGUAAUCGGAAUGAGUACAAUUUAAAUCCCUUAACGAGGAACAAUUGGAGGGCAAGUCUGGUGCCAGCAGCCGCGGUAAUUCCAGCUCCAAUAGCGUAUAUUAAAGUUGUUGUGGUUAAAAAGCUCGUAGUUGAACCUUGGGC